Molecule: non-coding RNA, 3359 nt
Filed under: Cryptosporidium parvum
Lineage: Eukaryota; Apicomplexa; Conoidasida; Eucoccidiorida; Cryptosporidiidae
Source: RNAcentral
CAAACAAAAUUUCCAAAUCUGUUGGAUUUAAACAGUUACCAGUACUUUCUCUUGUUAUUGUUGGUUCUGGAGUACUAAAUGAGGUUUUGGAAAGAACUUCCAUUAAGCUCAUAAAGUGCUCUUCUUUUUCAUCCUUUUCAUCUGAUUUUGGAUAGCUUUCUGAUAUGGUCUUAGUAGUAGUACUUGUUGGUAAAGAACCAUCAUCUUCUUCUUCAUCUGUUCCUUUUGUGCUUCUUAAGUUUCCCCUGGCCAUUUCACUUGUUGUUGGUUUUGUUGAACAAGCUGUUCCUGGAAUUUUUGUUGUUGUGGUUGUAAUUAAAUGAACAUCAUCAUCAUUACACUUUCCAAAAUGUAAGGCAGUCAGUCCCUCAUCAUCGCAUUGAGCAUUCUUAAAUGUACAUGGAUUGCCAUAAGUCACCCCAUCGUUUCCACAAAUUGGACGGUAUUCUCUUGUACAUGGAGUUUUGCAAUUUGGACCUCUUUCACGAUCUAAAGGACCUGGGAGACCUCUACCACCAACAUCAACAUUGGGAGAUUCAACAUUUUCUUCAGUGGUGAGACAUUUACCCCAAUGAACAAAUUCGAGGUUUGGAUCUUCACAUUGAGAAUUUCUAAAGUGGGAGAUAUUUGUGUAAGUUUUUCCAUCAGAACCACAUAUUGGUCUAUAAUCCAUUGUCACAAAUGGAGUGACACAGUCUGGACCUCUGACUCUGUCAAAUGGACCCAAUGGAAGUGUCUCAAAUGGACCAGAAUCCUUGGUAAAUAUGAUUGCCGUGAUUUUAUCAGCAUCAUUACUGUCACAAACUCCCCAGUGGAGGAAUUUAAGUUUCUCAUCAUCGCAUUGAGCAUUUCUGAAGUAGCAAUCAUUUGCAUAAAUGGUACCAGUACUUGAGCAAACUGGAUUGUAAUAUUUAGAACAUUCUUGUUUACAAUUUGGACCUCUUUUCCUAUCAAAUGGACCUAAAUCUGCCUUAAUUACUUUUGGAGGAUUCUUCUGAUCUUCUUCACUAUCGUAAACUCUGGCCAUGUAAUGCUCCAAGGUAGAAUCAUCACACAUUGCAUUUAAUAAAUAGCAAAUAUUUUUGUACUCCUUUCCAUCACUACCGUAAACUGGUGAAUCUAAACUACUGCAUGGCUUCUUACAAUCAGGCCCUCUGAUUCUAUAGAGAACAUAGUUAUAUCUAUAAAACUCAGAGUUUAUCUCACCAACUGGACUUAAAUCCUUAUGUUGUUCAGGCUCACCACUACAUUCUCCGAAAUAAGCAAAUUCGAGAUUUGAGUUAUCGCACUGAGCAUUUCUGAAUUCACAUGGAUUUGGAUAAGUAGUACCGUCUGUCCCACAUACUGGGUCAAACUCUCUAGUGCAUGGAGUUCUGCAUCCUGGACCUCUAACUCUGUCAAAAGGACCCAAAGGUUCACGUGCUUGAUCUGCAUCAAAGGUACGUUUCUCAAUUCCAACUGGAGCCUGAGAUGGUUGAGCUGGCUUGUUACAUAUACUCUUGCUGCAUUCUCCCCAAUGGAGGAAUUGAAGAUUCACAUUAUCACAUUGUGCGUUUCUGAAUUCGCACGGAUUUGAAUAUGUCACUCUAUUUGAUCCACAGACUGGGUUAUACUCCCUAGUACAAGGUGUCUUACAACCUGGGCCUCUAACUCUGUCAAAAGGACCUAAUGGAAUCAAAUUCCCAAAGUAUUCCUCAUAACCUUCAAAACAGACUCCCCAGUAUCUGAAUUCAAGAUUUUCAUCAUCGCAUUGAGCAUUUCUGAAAUGGGAAACAUUUUCGUAAGUCUUUCCGUUAGUACCACAAAUUGGAUAGUAUUUGAAAUCAACAAAGACUGUCUUACAGUCUGGACCUCUAACUCUAUCAAAUGGACCCAAUGGUUCCAAUUCAAAAGGACCAGAUUCUGCGAUAAAGAUGAUUCCAUUAAUCUUGUCAGCAUCAUUACUAUUACAAACUCCCCAAUGGAGGAAUCCAAGCUUUUCAUCAUCACACUGAGCAUUUCUGAAGUAGCAUUCAUUUGCAUAAACAGUACCAGUACUUGAACAGAUUGGAUCAUAGAACUUUGGACAAUCUUGUUUACAUUUUGGACCUCUUGGUCUAUCCAAGCUUCCCAAAUCUUCUCUCUUCUUUUUAUUAGCUUGAGAUUCUUCUAAAGUACAUUCUCCCCAAUGUUUGAAUUCAAGAUUUUCAUCUUCACAUUGAGCAUUUCUGAAGCCCGAGAUAUUUGAAUAAGUCUUUCCAUCUGAGCCACAAAUCAAGUUUAAUUCAUAAGUUACAUAAGGAGUGACACAGUCUGGACCUCUAAUUCUAUCGAAUGGACCUAAUGGAGGCCUUUCUAUUGGUUCUUCUGGCUUAAUUUGUGUGAGACAUUCUCCCCAGUGAGCAAAGUUCAAAUUCUUAUCAUCACACUGAGCAUUUCUAAAUACUGAAGUAUUGUCAUAGGUUUUUCCAUCAGAACCACAAAUUGGGUCAAGAUCCAAAGUGACAAAUGGAGUUUUACAAUUUGGACCUCUGACUCUGUCAAAUGGACCCAAUGGAGGUCUUUCUGUUGAUUCUUCUGGCUUAACUUGUGUGGGACAUUCUCCCCAGUGGACGAAUUCCAAAUUCUCAUCAUCGCAUUGAGCGUUUCUGAAAAGUGCGACAUUCGAGUAAGUUUUUCCAUCAGAGCCACAUAUUGGUCUAUAAUCUGCUGUAACGAAUGGAGUUUUGCAAUCUGGACCUCUAACUCUAUCAAAUGGACCUAAUGGAGAACCUUCCUGGAAGUCAACUAUUGGCACUGCAGUGGUAGUAGUGGUAGUAGUGGUAGUAGUAGUAGUAGUGGCAGUGGUGGUAGUAGUGGUAGUGGAAAUUGGAGAUGGGACAAUACCUUGUGGCAAAUAUGGACGUUUGGAGAUGAGUUGUUCACGGCCCUUAAGUGAACUUAGAGUUCCUUUGCAUCUUCCCCAAUGUUUGAAUUCAAGAUUUUCAUCAUCGCACUGAGCAUUUCUGAAAAUAGAAACAUUAUCAUAUGUGUUUCCAUCAGAACCACAAAUUAGCUUUAAAUCAAAAGUAACAAAUGGAGUUUUACAACCUGGACCUCUAGUUCUAUCAAAUGGACCUAAUGGAGGAAUACUAUCACCAACUCCUGUUAAUUCUGCAGUAGUAGUAGUAGUUCUUUUUGAAGAACUAGCUGGGAAAAUAUAUACUGGACUUGUACUGUUAACAGUAAUAUUGCCUAAAGUAUAAUUAUACUUGAAUUUCUCAGCACAUGCUGACAAACUAAUGAGAUACCCAGCCAAAAUGGCAAAAAUUAAGUUAGAAAAAACAAUUCUCUCCAUAUUUUAAUAAUUAUGUAAAAGAAUUACUUUACUGAUUAACGAC